Molecule: ribosomal RNA, 253 nt
Filed under: uncultured bacterium
Lineage: Bacteria
Description: partial 16S ribosomal RNA
Rfam family: Bacterial small subunit ribosomal RNA
Source: RNAcentral
UACGUAGGGUGCAAGCGUUAAUCGGAAUUACUGGGCGUAAAGCGUGCGCAGGCGGUUUUGUAAGUCUGUCGUGAAAUCCCCGGGCUUAACCUGGGAAUUGCGAUGGAGACUGCAAGGCUGGAGUCUGGCAGAGGGGGGUAGAAUUCCACGUGUAGCAGUGAAAUGCGUAGAGAUGUGGAGGAACACCGAUGGCGAAGGCAGCCUCCUGGGCCAGCACUGACGCUCAUGCACGAAAGCGUGGGGAGCAAACAGG